AAAACAGCCCUACGGGAGGCAGCAGUAGGGAAUAUUGGACAAUGGGCGAAAGCCUGAUCCAGCAAUGCCGCGUGAGCGAUGAAGGCCUUAGGGUUGUAAAGCUCUUUUACCCGAGAUGAUAAUGACAGUAUCGGGAGAAUAAGCCCCGGCUAACUCCGUGCCAGCAGCCGCGGUAAUACGGAGGGGGCUAGCGUUGUUCGGAAUUACUGGGCGUAAAGCGCACGUAGGCGGCUAUCUAAGUCAGAGGUGAAAGCCCGGGGCUCAACCCCGGAACUGCCUUUGAGACUGGAUAGCUAGAAUCUUGGAGAGGCGGGUGGAAUUCCGAGUGUAGAGGUGAAAU
Molecule: ribosomal RNA, 340 nt
Filed under: uncultured bacterium
Lineage: Bacteria
Description: bacterial SSU rRNA
Rfam family: Bacterial small subunit ribosomal RNA
Source: RNAcentral